UCCUUGACAGUCCAGUGGUUAAGACACUGUGCUUCCACUGCAGGGGGCAUAGGUUCAAUCCCUGGUCAGUGAA
This 73-nucleotide transfer RNA is filed under the name Bos taurus (domestic cattle). It matches the Rfam family "tRNA". Rfam says of the family: Transfer RNA (tRNA) molecules are approximately 80 nucleotides in length. Lineage: Eukaryota; Metazoa; Chordata; Mammalia; Artiodactyla; Bovidae. The record is from Rfam by way of RNAcentral. RNAcentral also lists the same sequence under 5 other names.